Molecule: non-coding RNA, 96 nt
Organism: Marchantia polymorpha subsp. ruderalis
Lineage: Eukaryota; Viridiplantae; Streptophyta; Marchantiopsida; Marchantiales; Marchantiaceae
Source: the annotation of a GenBank genome assembly
GUGGAGAAAAGACAGACCUAGAAUAUGAUGCACACAUCUACUUUGUAGGCUGGAAGACGUGAAGUGCAUCAUAUUUUAGGUCCGUCUCUUCUCCAC